This 1076-nucleotide ribosomal RNA is filed under the name Acinetobacter sp. 230853. Its description in RNAcentral is "bacterial LSU rRNA". It matches the Rfam family "Bacterial large subunit ribosomal RNA", at positions 1855 to 2925 of the family's 2925-position model. Lineage: Bacteria; Pseudomonadati; Pseudomonadota; Gammaproteobacteria; Moraxellales; Moraxellaceae. The record is from RNAcentral.
AUGCCUGCCCGGUGCUGGAAGGUUAAUUGAUGGGGUUAGCGUAAGCGAAGCUCUUGAUCGAAGCCCCAGUAAACGGCGGCCGUAACUAUAACGGUCCUAAGGUAGCGAAAUUCCUUGUCGGGUAAGUUCCGACCUGCACGAAUGGCAUAAUGAUGGCGGCGCUGUCUCCAGCAGAGGCUCAGUGAAAUCGAAAUCGCUGUGAAGAUGCAGUGUACCCGCGGCUAGACGGAAAGACCCCGUGAACCUUUACUGCAGCUUGACACUGAACUUUGACCUUACUUGUGUAGGAUAGGUGGGAGGCUUUGAAGUAGGGACGCCAGUUCCUAUGGAGCCAUCCUUGAAAUACCACCCUGGUAAUGUUGAGGUUCUAACUCUGACCCAUAAUCUGGGUCGAGGACCGUGUCUGGUGGGUAGUUUGACUGGGGCGGUCUCCUCCUAAAGAGUAACGGAGGAGUACGAAGGUGCGCUCAGCGUGGUCGGAAAUCACGCGUAGAGUAUAAAGGCAAAAGCGCGCUUAACUGCGAGACCCACAAGUCGAGCAGGUACGAAAGUAGGUCUUAGUGAUCCGGUGGUUCUGUAUGGAAGGGCCAUCGCUCAACGGAUAAAAGGUACUCUGGGGAUAACAGGCUGAUACCGCCCAAGAGUUCAUAUCGACGGCGGUGUUUGGCACCUCGAUGUCGGCUCAUCUCAUCCUGGGGCUGAAGCAGGUCCCAAGGGUAUGGCUGUUCGCCAUUUAAAGAGGUACGCGAGCUGGGUUUAGAACGUCGUGAGACAGUUCGGUCCCUAUCUACCGUGGGCGCUGGAAAUUUGAGAGGAUCUGCUCCUAGUACGAGAGGACCAGAGUGGACGAACCUCUGGUGUACCGGUUGUGACGCCAGUCGCAUCGCCGGGUAGCUAUGUUCGGAAGGGAUAACCGCUGAAAGCAUCUAAGCGGGAAGCCUACCUCAAGAUAAGAUUUCCCCGUGACUUUAUGUCACCUAAAGAGCCGUUCAAGACCAGGACGUUGAUAGGUUGGAUGUGGAAGCAUAGUGAUAUGUGAAGCUGACCAAUACUAAUUGCUCGUGAGGCUUGACUAU